This 501-nucleotide ribosomal RNA is filed under the name Validiblatta fuliginosa (smokybrown cockroach). RNAcentral's name for it is "Periplaneta fuliginosa (smokybrown cockroach) partial large subunit ribosomal RNA". It matches the Rfam family "Bacterial large subunit ribosomal RNA", at positions 1834 to 2594 of the family's 2925-position model. Lineage: Eukaryota; Metazoa; Arthropoda; Insecta; Blattodea; Blattidae. The record is from RNAcentral.
UUCUUGUAUAAAUAUAAAGUAUGACCUGCCCACUGAUUAAUUUUGAAGGGCCGCGGUAUUUUGACCGUGCAAAGGUAGCAUAAUCAUUAGUCCUUUAAUUGUGGACUGGAAUGAAUGGUUGGACGAGGAAUAUACUGUUUCUUAUUAUUUUAUUUGAAUUUAAUUUUUAAGUUAAAAAGCUUAAAUUUAUUUAUGGGACGAGAAGACCCUAUAGAGUUUAUACAUAUUUUUAUAUUUAUUUUGUUUGAUUAUUUUUAUUAAAUAAUUGAUAUGUUUUGUUGGGGUGAUAGGAAGAAUUAAUUAACUCUUUUUUGUUUUAUACAUUUAUUUAUGAUAAAUUGAUCCAAUUUUAUUGAUUAUAAGAUUAAAUUACCUUAGGGAUAACAGCGUAAUCUUUUCUGAGAGUUCUUAUCGAUGAAUGGGUUUGCGACCUCGAUGUUGGAUUAAGAUUUAAUUUGGGUGUAGAAUUUCAAUUGUUUAGGUCUGUUCGACCUUUAAAAU